UUAUCCUUGGGAAGCGUUGAAGUAUAGCCUCUACCUGGACACUUAGGCUAUAUGGAGCUAGUAGUGUAACCGGCCCUCUUAA
This is a non-coding RNA of Bacillus sp. B-jedd, 82 nucleotides long. The record is from Rfam. Lineage: Bacteria; Bacillati; Bacillota; Bacilli; Caryophanales; Bacillaceae.